UUUUUAAAAAUUGAUAAUCCUGUAGCACAAGAUUUAGCAAAUCGUUUGUCAAAGCUAUAUGCAACAAUAAAGACAAAAUUAAAAGAAGCUCAAGAAUAAUAAAAGACCAAUAUGGAUGCUUAUCAUAAAGAACAACCAUAAUUUAAUGUAGGUGACAAGGUAUGAUAACUUUGUCACAAUAUCAAGACUACUUGUUCUUAUGAUAAGUUGGACUAUUGUAGAUUGAGACCUUUUCCUAUUUGUAAACAAAUAAAUCCUAUUUCUUAUCA
This 269-nucleotide long non-coding RNA is filed under the name Physcomitrium patens. Its description in RNAcentral is "long non-coding RNA (PPAT_LNC005283)". The record is from RNAcentral. Lineage: Eukaryota; Viridiplantae; Streptophyta; Bryopsida; Funariales; Funariaceae.